Molecule: ribosomal RNA, 116 nt
Filed under: Sulfurospirillum tamanense
Lineage: Bacteria; Pseudomonadati; Campylobacterota; Epsilonproteobacteria; Campylobacterales; Sulfurospirillaceae
Also listed under: 1 other name
Source: RNAcentral
GCCGGUGGCUAUACAGAUGUGGAAACGCCCAGCUCCAUCCCGAACCUGGAAGCUAAGCGCAUCAUGGCCGAUAAUACUCUCCCUUACUGGGACGGAAACGUAGGUCGCUGCCGGCU